RNAcentral lists this transfer RNA (82 nucleotides) under Wolfiporia cocos MD-104 SS10. Its description in RNAcentral is "Wolfiporia cocos (strain MD-104) (brown rot fungus) tRNA". It matches the Rfam family "tRNA". From Rfam's summary of the family: Transfer RNA (tRNA) molecules are approximately 80 nucleotides in length. The record is from Rfam by way of RNAcentral. Lineage: Eukaryota; Fungi; Basidiomycota; Agaricomycetes; Polyporales; Phaeolaceae.
UCUCUGGUAGUAUAUCGGUUAGUACACGCGCCUGUCACUUUCGAGUGCGCGCGAAAGCGGGGUUCGACUCCCCGCCAGAGAG